AGGGAAUAUUGCGCAAUGGGCGGAAGCCUGACGCAGCGACGCCGCGUGAGCGAAGAAGGCCUUCGGGUCGUAAAGCUCUGUCCUUGGGGAAGAAGGCGAAAGCUUGACGGUACCCAAGAAGAAAGCCCCGGCUAACUACGUGCCAGCAGCCGCGGUAAUACGUAGGGGGCGAGCGUUGUCCGGAAUUACUGGGCGUAAAGGGUGCGUAGGCGGCCUUUUAAGUCAGAUGUGAAAGGCUGCGGCUUAACCGCAGGACUGCAUUUGAAACUGGAAGGCUUGAGUGUCGGAGAGGGUAGUGGAAUUCCCAGUGUAGCGGUGAAAUGCGUAGAUAUUGGGAGGAACACCAGUGGCGAAGGCGACUACCUGGACGAUAACUGACGCUGAGGCACGAAAGCUAGGGGAGCAAAC
RNAcentral lists this ribosomal RNA (408 nucleotides) under uncultured bacterium. Its description in RNAcentral is "bacterial SSU rRNA". It matches the Rfam family "Bacterial small subunit ribosomal RNA", at positions 356 to 773 of the family's 1533-position model. The record is from RNAcentral.